AUUGAACGCUGGCGGAAUGCUUUACACAUGCAAGUCGAACGGCAGCACGGGGGCAGCCCUGGUGGCGAGUGGCGAACGGGUGAGUAAUACAUCGGAACGUGCCCGGUCGUGGGGGAUAACGUAGCGAAAGUUACGCUGAUACCGCAUACGAUCUGAGGAUGAAAGCGGGGGACCUUCGGGCCUCGCGCGAUCGGAGCGGCCGAUGUCAGAUUAGGUAGUUGGUGGGGUAAAGGCCUACCAAGCCGACGAUCCGUAGCUGGUCUGAGAGGAAGAACAGCCACACUGGGAAUGAGACCCGGUCCCGGAUCCCACGGGGAGCAGCCGGGGGGGAACUUUGAAAAUGGGGCGAAGGCUGGUUCAGGCCUGUCCGCGGGCAGGACAAGGGCUUCGGGUUGGUAAACUGUUUUUGUAGGGAGGAAAAAGGCUAUGGCUAUUACCUGGGGUUCAUGAGUGUCCCGCAAGAAUAAGCACCGGUAAACUACGU
This 484-nucleotide ribosomal RNA is filed under the name uncultured bacterium. Its description in RNAcentral is "partial 16S ribosomal RNA". It matches the Rfam family "Bacterial small subunit ribosomal RNA", at positions 29 to 506 of the family's 1533-position model. The record is from RNAcentral.